RNAcentral lists this non-coding RNA (28 nucleotides) under Homo sapiens (human). The record is from RNAcentral. Lineage: Eukaryota; Metazoa; Chordata; Mammalia; Primates; Hominidae.
UUCCUGGAGGAUUACCUUGAGCAAGAAG